CCUAAUGAGACUGCCGGUGACAAACCGGAGGAAGGUGGGGAUGACGUCAAGUCCUCAUGGCCCUUAUGGGUAGGGCUUCACACGUCAUACAAUGGUCGGUACGAGAAGGGUUGCCAACCCGCGAGGGGGAGCUAAUCCCAUAAAGCCAGUCGUAGUCCGGAUCGCAGUCUGCAACUCGACUGCGUGAAGUCGGAAUCGCUAGUAAUCGUGGAUCAGCAUGUCACGGUGAAUACGUUCCCGGGUCUU
This 246-nucleotide ribosomal RNA is filed under the name uncultured Comamonas sp. Its description in RNAcentral is "partial 16S ribosomal RNA". It matches the Rfam family "Bacterial small subunit ribosomal RNA", at positions 1139 to 1382 of the family's 1533-position model. Lineage: Bacteria; Pseudomonadati; Pseudomonadota; Betaproteobacteria; Burkholderiales; Comamonadaceae. The record is from RNAcentral.